ACCUUCAAAAGAAUCUUCCGUGGGAUCUAAGAAGAUGGAAAAAAGCAAAAAUGAAGAACACUGGGAAGACGAAGUCGAAGGUCUUGUUAUGUGGUCUACAAAGCUUGACCAAGCAAAAUUAGAUUAACUGUCUCUAUGGUAAUAGAGCAGUGGCGCUAGUGCUGUUUGAAAACAAGAAGAGGAGGAUGAGUUACAUCCAACCUUAUGCUAAUGGACAUCUGGAGUCCUUGGUGCGCUCGGUGCUUUCUUGUGUGUAGACAUUUCAUUGCCCGACUAGAUAACAUUAUGACAUUUCAACUAUGCAACCCUGAGCUUCCUAUGUCUCUUUUAAUAGACAUCUGCUACUCCUCCCUGCAUGAGGUGACUUUCUGAAGCCAGUUGGGGAAGUUUGUGGGUAUGAUGCAGGAUAAAUCGUCAUCAUCACCACAGCCACAAUUAUCUGUUCCCAUGACAAAUGCUAAUCCAGCAGCAGAUGGACACCAAAGACUCAUAGUUUGGAACUCCUUAUUUUUCUGAUCCAUAUGGGAAACUCCUGACUGUAUUCACCCCAUGGCAAGCAUAUCAACCUGUCUUCCCAACUUCAAGUCCUGCUAAAGCUUACAUAGUAACGAAGGAGACAUGUAUGCAUAUAAAUUCAAAAUUGGAUAUUUUUAUGACUAAAUAAUACCCAGAAACGAUUUCCUAUGUAAAUUGGUGAAAUCUACCCAUAAUAUUUACAGCACUUCCAUGAUUUUGUGGCUUUAUUUUAAUGUGACUUUGAUUUCAGCAAGUACUCUUAAGCUGUGUGUCCUCCAGAAGGCGCCAUUUCACUGCUAUAUUGACAUUUUAACUCUUGAAAAGCUCUUCCUGCACUGUUCUAAUGAAUAGAUUUAAAGUAGCUGGUCUGAGCACUUUCCAGCUGUUACUUAUCUAUGCAGAUUGAAACAAAAACCCAACCAUUAUUGAUGCAAAAGGCUACAUAAGUAUGAGAAUGUGUUGCUGAGCAUGAAGGUAUGAGAAAAAGGCUUUUUUUUAAAAAAAAAGAAAGAAAGAAAAUAUCUGAACCGAAUUCCUGGGAACAACAUACCGGUAAUAAAUGUAUGCACAGUUCACAUAUAACCACUGUUGUUAUACAAAACCACUUUUAAUAAAAUGUUAAGAACAUUAAAUGAAAUACACCAUAUAGUUUAGAAGUGUUCACAGAGGAAGUACUUGAUAUUAAAAGCAUAAUGGCAUUGUUCUCCUCUAAAGGUGAUCCUUCCUCCAUUAAAGUCAAAUAUAAAACUUUCAGCAGUUGUUUGUGUCUUGUGAAAGUUAACAAGUUGUGCAGAAGAAAAUGAAAAUAAAGUAUCUCAAUGUUUAUGC
Molecule: non-coding RNA, 1344 nt
Organism: Thamnophis sirtalis
Lineage: Eukaryota; Metazoa; Chordata; Lepidosauria; Squamata; Natricidae
Source: RefSeq, a predicted model, not a curated record